CCUUUUCUCUGGGCUUAACUCCCUUGAACUUUGUCAACUUGUAGACAAAUGUCUUGGUGGAUUGAGCUUUGUCUAGGCUCACAGCCAAGGCCGUCUGAAUUAGCUGGCGUGGACUUUGGUUGAUUGAAGUGGCGUAAAGGGAGAGGGAUUGCACACACAAGGCAGGGUAUGUUGUGGCGGUGCAUGAGGCCUUGAUGAAAUUUGUAGCGCUUGCACUUGAACUUGUGGUGCUAGCAGAAGUUGCAGUGCCAGCAAUGUACAGAAUUGAGAGUAGCAGCAAGACGAGGCUAGA
This 292-nucleotide long non-coding RNA is filed under the name Populus trichocarpa (black cottonwood). RNAcentral describes it as "long non-coding RNA (PTRI_LNC002972)". Lineage: Eukaryota; Viridiplantae; Streptophyta; Magnoliopsida; Malpighiales; Salicaceae. The record is from RNAcentral.